CAACUUUAUAACACAUAUGUUUUAUUGGGAUCCCCGUUAAUAGCGACAGCCCAUCUUCCUGGGGUUCGACAAAUAACGAAAAAUACAUUAUAAAUGGUCAAGUGUUUUAGUCUGUAAACACAUGAACAUGGACAGACGUACAUGACUACAUGACUUAACUAGAUUACUAGGUCAGAUAGGGAUAGACAGACGUACAUGACUACAUGACUUAACUAGAUUACUAGGUCAGAUAGGGAUAGGCCCGCGGUUGAAUCUAGUUGAUGAGCCUUGGUUUAAAAAGGUGAUAGCAAGAAGUUAAGUCUCCUCAAUUUGCUCACUGCCAGAUUCAGCAGAGAUGUCGAACUUGCGAAGAAUGAUUUGUACCAAAUACAAUACUCUUAGUUUUAGAGAUGUUCAGGACUAGUUUAUUUUUUAUUUUACCUUUAUUUAACCAGGCAAGUCAGUUAAGAACACAUUCUUAUUUUCAAUGACGGCCUAGGAACAGUGGGUUAACUGCCUGUUCAGGGGCAGAACGACAGAUUUGUACCUUGUCAGCUCGGGGGUUUGAACUUGCAACCUUCCGGUUACUAGUCCAACGCUCUAACCACUAGGCUACCCUGCCGACCAUCCAUUCUAAAACUCUUUGUUUAGAGAGUUGCCGUGGUUUCACUAGCCGUGGUUGCUGACAUGUACACUGAAUGGACAAAACAUUAGGAACGACUGCUCUUUCCAUGAUAGGGUUGAUUGAUGUCACUAAAUCCACUUCAAAUCAGAUUUUUUUGUUUUUAAAUAGGUUUUUUGAGCCAUAGAUUGGGUGUGUGUGCCAUUCAGAGGGUGAAUGGGCAAGACAGAAGGUUUAAUUGCCUUUGAACAGGGUAUGGUAGUAGGCCCCAGGUGCACCGGUUUGUGACAACUGCAAUGCUGCUGGGUUUUUCACACUCAAAGGUGUUUCCCCUGUGUAUCAAGAACGGUCUACCACCCAUCCAGCCAACUGGACACAACUGUGGGAAGCAUUGGAGUCAAUCAACAUGGACCAGCUUCUCUGUGGAAUGCUUUCGACACCUUGAGGAGGCAAUAUGGGAGUAAGGGGUGGGGUAAUAUCCUGUCUUUAAGCAAUAGCUAUAUACACAGUAGUAGAAGUUCAACUCUCAUGGCAGUCAAUACAACAAUAUCAACAAAUCAGAACGUAAUUCCUGUCUCUAUGCAAUUUUCUACAUUUUUAAUCAAUCAAAUUCUACAGUGGUCUAUUCUAUGCAUCUCCAUUUCCCUCCCACAAAACUGAAGCAAAACGUUGAAACUGGGAGAGACUGUUUGCUAUGGUGGUGUGCACUAAUGAACACACCCCUGGUUCCAUCACGUCUCAGAUGGAACUAACCCAGCUAGCAGAUUUGAUUCGUUGGAAGUUAAGGGAACAUACGGUUUAGGUUUCACAUUGGUUGUGGGAACGAAGCCAUAUGCUUCCCGAACAUAUAUAUAUUUUUUUAAACGUUCUGAGAAUAUAAGUGAAAACGUUGACUGUUCUGGGUUUAAUUUUUAGGUUGCAGGGAGGUUCUGAGAACAUUUUUCCUUUGGUUCCUUGAUAAAACAUCUUUUAAAAGAUUUAAAAAAAAAAUUGUUGUUAUUUCUUUCUUCUAUUUGUUAGUUGUAUAACUUUUAAACUGCAUUGUUGGGAAAGGACUCGUAAGGAAGCAUUUAAUGGUAAAGUCUAUACUUCCCGGGGGGUUUUUAAUUAGUGCAGUGAAAAUGGAAAUUAUAGGUUAUUUUGGAGGUUUCUGAAAAACUUCCUUAAAACGUUCACUGAAUAUUUCAAUAGGACUUUUAAUAACACUGCUUAGGUUAAUUGUUUGGAACUGCCAGCACAGAUAGGACACAUGGAAAUGAAUUCGCUUAGGUAUUCAAUCAUCCAUAACACAGUUAUUUUAUUUAUUGUGACACGGCAUCAGUGAGAUUCAAACUUAUAAUCUUCUGUUCUUUAUCCAUGAAAUGAGUCCACUGCACCACCAGGAUGCAGCUGGAAUGCCGUGUUUCUUUUAAACUCAUACGAAGCUGUUCAUUUUUUGUCUAUUU
Oncorhynchus tshawytscha (Chinook salmon) is the source of this 2046-nucleotide long non-coding RNA. The record is from Ensembl. Lineage: Eukaryota; Metazoa; Chordata; Actinopteri; Salmoniformes; Salmonidae.